CCCGUAUUUUGGCUGGUAUUGGUGUGUCAUCCUGGUCCCCCUAAUGUACGGAGGCAGAGGGAAGGGCUCCUGCCCCCUCUGCCACAUGUCUUUGGUGCCCAGCUACUGAGUCUAUCCUCAAGUGCAAAGACAGGG
Molecule: small nucleolar RNA, 135 nt
Organism: Talpa occidentalis (Iberian mole)
Lineage: Eukaryota; Metazoa; Chordata; Mammalia; Eulipotyphla; Talpidae
Product: small nucleolar RNA SNORA57
Exons: 1
Source: RefSeq, a predicted model, not a curated record